This 2386-nucleotide long non-coding RNA is filed under the name Prunus persica (peach). RNAcentral describes it as "long non-coding RNA (PPER_LNC001598)". Lineage: Eukaryota; Viridiplantae; Streptophyta; Magnoliopsida; Rosales; Rosaceae. The record is from RNAcentral.
GGGAUCCGCCAACAUUUUGUGGAUCAAAGACUGUUGAAUUUCAUAGUAUAAAAUUGCUUGUAUAGGAAUUUACUUUCUAAAAUGUCCAUUGUAAUUACAAACUAAACCCAAUUACUGCUUUUUUCUCAUUACACUUGACAACCCUGCUCAUCUGCUAUGAGAUAUAUUAGUCCACGGCAUAUUCUAGGUAGAUGAAAAAUUGGAUACAAAACAGUCUAACGAGACAACGAAGAGAAGUUUGUAGCUUUAUUUUGAAAUAAAUCGAAGGUAUUAGAGGUCAUAUGGCAUUGAUAUACGAAGUAUUCUAAAUGAGAAUUCAAACAUGUGCUCGAUGAGAAGUAGCAUCUCAUUCUUACAUAUACCAUACCCACGUGCUUGCCACCUGACUAUACUCUAUUUUGAGUUUUUUUUCUAAAACAUCUGUUGACACGUGGCUCCAAAUGGUUGGGGACUUUUUCGUAUUAAAAAUAGUAUAGCCACGCGGCUAUACUCUAUUUUGAUUCUUUUUAAAAAAAACAUAUGUUGACACGUGGCUCCAAAUGGUUGGGGGACUUUUUUUGUAUUAAAAAUAGUAUAGCCGCGCGGCUAUACCCUAUUUUGAAUUUUUUUUUUUAAACAUGUGUUGACACGUCGCUCCAAAUGGUUGGGGGGACUUUUAUUGUAUCAAAAAUAGUGUAGCCGCGCGGCUAUACUCAGAUGUGAAGUUUUUUUUUUUAAAAGACAAGUGUUGACACGUGGCUCCAAAUGGAUGGUGGAACGUUUUUGUAUUAAAAAUAGUACAGCCGAUCGGCUAUACUCAGUUUUGAAAUUUUUUUUGAAAACAUGUGUUAACACGUGGCUCCAAAUGGUUGGGGGACCUUUUUUGUAUUAAAAAUAGUAUAGCCGCCCCGCUAUACUCAGUUUUGAAAUUUUUUUUUAACAAAGACAAGUGUUGACACGUGGCUCCAAAUGGUUGGGGGACCUUUCGGUAUUUCAAAUAGUAUAGCUGGGCGGCUAUACUCUAUUUUGAUUUUUUUUUUAUAAACAUGUGCUGACAAGUGGCUCCAAAUGGUUGGGGGACCUUUUUUGUAUUAAAAAUUGUAUAGCCGCCCGGCUAUACUCUAUUUUGAAUUUUUUUUUUACAAAGACAGUGUUGACACGUGGCACCAAAUGGUUGGGGGACCUUUUUUGUAUUAAAAAUAGUAUAGCCGCGCGGCAAUACUCAGUUUUGAAAUUUUUUUUAAAAAGACAAGUGUCGACACGCGGCUCCAAAUGUUUGGUGGAACUUUUUUGUAUUAAAAAUAAUACAGCCGCCCGGCUGUACUCAGUUUUGCAAUUUUUUUUAGUAAACAUGUGUUGACACGUGGCUCCAAAUGUUUGGGGGACCCUUUUUCUAUUAAAAAUAGUAUAGUCGGGCGGAUAUACACAGUUUUGAAAUUUUCUUAGAAAACAUGUGUUGACACGUGGCUCCAAAAGGAUUGGGGGACCUUUUUUGUUUUACAAAUAGUAUAGCCGAGCGGCUAUACUCUAUUUUGAAUUUUUUUUUUUUAAAACAUAUGUUGACGCGUGGCUCCAAAUGGUUAGGGGACCUUUUUGUAUGAAAAAUAGUAGUAUUACCACGCGGCUAUACUCAGUUUUGAAAUAUUUUUUAAAAAUACAGUGUUGACACGUGGCUCUAAAUGGUUGGUGGAACUUUUUUGUAUUAAAAAUAGUACACCCGCCGGGCUAUACUCAGUUUUGAAAUUUUUUUAGAAAACAUGUGUUGACACGUGGCCCCAAAUGGUUGGGGGACCUUUUUCGUUUUAAAAAUAGUAUAGCCGAGCGGCUAUACUCUAUUUUGAAUUUUUUUUUUUAAAAAAAAACAUGUGUUGACACGUGGCUCCAAAUGGUUGGGGGACCUUUUUGUAUAAAGAUAGUAUAGCCGCCCGGCUAUACUCAGUUUUGAAAUGUUUUUGAAAAAGACUGUUGACACGUGGCUCCAAAUGGUUGGUGGAACUUUUUUGUAUUAAAAAUAGUACAGCCGCCCGGCUAUACGCAGUUUUGAAAUUUCUUUAGAAAACAUGUGUUGACACGUGGCUCCAAAUGGUUGGGGGACCUUUUUUGUAUUAAAAAUAGUAUAGCCGCGCGACUAUACUUAGUUUUGAAAUUUUUUUUACAAAGGCAAGUGUUGACACGUGGCUCCAAAUGGCUGGGUGACCUUUUUUGUAUUAAAAAUAGUAUAGCCGCCCGGCUAUACUCAGUUUAGAAAUUUUUUUUUACAAAGACAAGUGUUGGCACGUGGGUCCAAAUGGUUGGGGAACCUUUUUUGUAUUAAAAAUAGCAUAGCCGCGCGGCUAUACUCAUUUUAGCAAUUUUUUUAAAAUGACAACUGUUGACACGUGGCUCCAAAUGGUUGGGGCACUUUUUU